UUCUUCAGGGCAGGGUGAAAUUCCCGACCGGCGGUAAUAGUCCGCGAGCGCAAGCUGAUCUGGUGUGAUUCCAGAACCGACAGUACAGUCUGGAUGGUAGAAGAG
This 105-nucleotide non-coding RNA is filed under the name marine eukaryotic metagenome. RNAcentral describes it as "FMN riboswitch (RFN element)". It matches the Rfam family "FMN riboswitch aptamer (RFN element)". From Rfam's summary of the family: The RFN element is a highly conserved domain that is found frequently in the 5'-untranslated regions of prokaryotic mRNAs that encode for flavin mononucleotide (FMN) biosynthesis and transport proteins. The record is from RNAcentral.